GCCUGAGUGGCUCAGUGGUUGAGCGUCUGCCUUUGGCUCAGGGCAUGAUCCCAGCAUCUGGGAUCGAGUCCCACAUUAGGCU
RNAcentral lists this transfer RNA (82 nucleotides) under Canis lupus dingo (dingo). It matches the Rfam family "tRNA". From Rfam's summary of the family: Transfer RNA (tRNA) molecules are approximately 80 nucleotides in length. Their secondary structure includes four short double-helical elements and three loops (D, anti-codon, and T loops). Lineage: Eukaryota; Metazoa; Chordata; Mammalia; Carnivora; Canidae. The record is from Rfam by way of RNAcentral.